AGUGGCGGACGGGUGAGUAACGCGUAAGAAUCUAACUUCAGGACGGGGACAACUGUUGGAAACGACUGCUAAUACCCGAUGUGCCGCAAGGUGAAACCUAAUUGGCCUGGAGAAGAGCUUGCGUCUGAUUAGCUAGUUGGUGGGGUAAAGGCCUACCAAGGCGACGAUCAGUAGCUGGUCUGAGGGGAUGAGCAGCCACACUGGGACUGAGACACGGCCCAGACUCCUACGGGAGGCAGCAGUGGGGAAUUUUCCGCAAUGGGCGAAAGCCUGACGGAGCAACGCCGCGUGAGGGAGGAAGGUCUUUGGAUUGUAAACCUCUUUUCUCAAGGAAGAAGUUCUGACGGUACUUGAGGAAUCAGCCUCGGCUAACUCCGUGCCAGCAGCCGCGGUAAUACGGGGGAGGCAAGCGUUAUCCGGAAUUAUUGGGCGUAAAGCGUCCGCAGGUGGUCAGCCAAGUCUGCCGUCAAAUCAGGUUGCUUAACGACCUAAAGGCGGUGGAAACUGGCAGACUAGAGAGCAGUAGGGGUAGCAGGAAUUCCCAGUGUAGCGGUGAAAUGCGUAGAGAUUGGGAAGAACAUCGGUGGCGAAAGCGUGCUACUGGGCUGUAUCUGACACUCAGGGACGAAAGCUAGGGGAGCGAAAGGGAUUAGAUACCCCUGUAGUCCUAGCCGUAAACGAUGGAUACUAGGCGUGGCUU
RNAcentral lists this ribosomal RNA (700 nucleotides) under uncultured bacterium. Its description in RNAcentral is "bacterial SSU rRNA". It matches the Rfam family "Bacterial small subunit ribosomal RNA", at positions 94 to 828 of the family's 1533-position model. The record is from RNAcentral.